Molecule: small RNA, 61 nt
Filed under: Caenorhabditis elegans
Lineage: Eukaryota; Metazoa; Nematoda; Chromadorea; Rhabditida; Rhabditidae
Description: Unclassified non-coding RNA C06A1.10
Source: RNAcentral
GGAGAAAGAAAAAGAGCAUGUUCUUACUCAAAUUACCCAUUUCCUCUUCUAGCCAAACAAC